RNAcentral lists this small RNA (1083 nucleotides) under Histoplasma capsulatum. Its description in RNAcentral is "hypothetical RNA". Lineage: Eukaryota; Fungi; Ascomycota; Eurotiomycetes; Onygenales; Ajellomycetaceae. The record is from RNAcentral. RNAcentral also lists the same sequence under 1 other name.
GAUCAUUCCCUGUGCUGCUCCCCUCACGCCUGUGUGCUUGAUUCCUCUGUCCGCGAGGAAAAGGAAGCAUCCAGUUCGCUGUGAAACGUGAGCACGAUGUCUUCCACAUCUUGCGCAAUCAGCCAGCCCUCACUUAGGCUUACAAUAUUCCCAUAGUAUCUUUUCUGACCUUUCUAAUUAUUUUUUAUUUUUUGUAUUUUGUUUUGCAGUCAAUGGGUGACAGGGACGUACGGCCGCAUGACAUGUGUGUACAGCACAUGUCUAUAUAUGUACUAGUAUGUAGUAUAUACCCGCCCCGGGGAGAGAAGGAGGAAUCAUGAGGUUGAGGUGAGAACACAGGGUGCCACCAAAAUGGAAAAAUAAAAAUAAAAAUAAAAAUUGCGCCGGAUGAAGUAGUUGUUCACACACUCCUGAAAUAAGCGGGCGGGAAAUACUCGCAAGAUGUUCAAAAACCGCUGCUUCCCUCCUCACACAAAAGAAGAGGAUAUCCUAGCGUGAGGUUCUAGAUGGAAGGGAAUGGUACUCGGAGACCUUAGAAGCCUGUGGGGGGGAAUUGGGGUUUCGUAACCGUGAGAGUGACAGCAAAUCGUCUGGAGGAGUCGAGCAAAAAGAGAAAAAGAAAAGAAAGGCAAAGAAACACAACUCAGUGUCUUCUCGCUUCCCCCGCAUGGUUUGAUUGCUCAAAAUAAAAUAUUCAAAACCCAUCCCCUUCCUUCCAUUCCCUCCCCGCCUCCUGAGCGCGGAUUCGCGGAUCCCUGCCCCGCUCCUGCGCUCGCGCAAGAAUCUUCGUCAACUCUUGCUUCGAGGCCUCUACCUGAGCCUCCAGAAGUGCCCCCUUCCCCAACUCGGGCUGCUCCAUGUCCUCGAUCUCCUUGCGCGACUUGCCCUCACUUUCCGCAUCCGCCACCGCACCCGCCAGCCUGCGCCAUUUCUCUAGGUCUUUCUUCAAUCCUUCCUCACGUCUCAGGAGGCCGAGAUACUCAUCUACCCCUUCGGCGCCGCCGAAACAUAACCCAUACCCGUCACAGUAACACGCAUGCUUCGCGGGGCAGAAGACCGUCUGGCCCGCGAACAGCACCUGCC